RNAcentral lists this unclassified non-coding RNA (338 nucleotides) under soil metagenome. RNAcentral's name for it is "partial contains 5.8S ribosomal RNA, internal transcribed spacer 2, and large subunit ribosomal RNA". The stretch from base 1 to 120 matches the Rfam family "5.8S ribosomal RNA", at positions 35 to 154 of the family's 154-position model. The record is from RNAcentral.
GAUGAAGAACGUAGCGAAAUGUGAUACGUAGUGUGAAUUGCAGAAUUCAGUGAAUCAUCGAAUCUUUGAACGCACAUUGCACCUCUCGGUAUUCCGGGAGGUAUGCCUGUUCGAGCGUCAUUUGUACCCUCAAGCUCUGCUUGGUGUUGGGUGUUUGUUCCGCCUCUGUGUGUGAACUCGCCUCAAAACAAUUGGCAGCCGGCGUACUUGUUUCGGAGCGCAGCACAUUUUGCGAUCCAGAUCAACGUACAGCGGCAUCCAAGAAGCCUUAUUUAACGCUCUUGACCUCGGAUCAGGUAGGGAUACCCGCUGAACUUAAGCAUAUCAUAAGCGGAGGA